UGAUCUGUACUAAGAACAUUGUUUUGCCU
RNAcentral lists this non-coding RNA (29 nucleotides) under Homo sapiens (human). The record is from RNAcentral. Lineage: Eukaryota; Metazoa; Chordata; Mammalia; Primates; Hominidae.